CUGGGUUUGACAUGCACAGGACGCCAGUAGAGAUAUUGGUUCCCUUGUGGCCUGUGUGCAGGUGGUGCAUGGCUGUCGUCAGCUCGUGUCGUGAGAUGUUGGGUUAAGUCCCGCAACGAGCGCAACCCUUGUCUCAUGUUGCCAGCGGGUAAUGCCGGGGACUCGUGAGAGACUGCCGGGGUCAACUCGGANGAAGGUGGGGAUGACGUCAAGUCAUCAUGCCCCUUAUGUCCAGGGCUUCACACAUGCUACAAUGGCCGGUACAAAGGGCUGCGAUGCCGUGAGGUGGAGCGAAUCCUUUCAAAGCCGGUCUCAGUUCGGAUCGGGGUCUGCAACUCGACCCCGUGAAGUCGGAGUCGCUAGUAAUCGCAGAUCAGCAACGCUGCGGUGAAUACGUUCCC
RNAcentral lists this ribosomal RNA (401 nucleotides) under uncultured soil bacterium. RNAcentral's name for it is "bacterial SSU rRNA". It matches the Rfam family "Bacterial small subunit ribosomal RNA", at positions 975 to 1375 of the family's 1533-position model. The record is from RNAcentral.